This 300-nucleotide ribosomal RNA is filed under the name uncultured Gemmatimonas sp. RNAcentral describes it as "bacterial SSU rRNA". It matches the Rfam family "Bacterial small subunit ribosomal RNA", at positions 496 to 795 of the family's 1533-position model. The record is from RNAcentral. Lineage: Bacteria; Pseudomonadati; Gemmatimonadota; Gemmatimonadia; Gemmatimonadales; Gemmatimonadaceae.
GCUAACUCUGUGCCAGCAGCCGCGGUAAUACAGAGGGUGCGAGCGUUGUCCGGAAUCACUGGGCGUAAAGGGCGCGUAGGUGGCUUGGUAAGCGUGUGGUGAAAGCUCGGGGCUCAACCCCGAGUCUGCCGUGCGAACUGCCGAGCUCGAGCAAAGUAGAGGCAGGUGGAAUUUCGGGUGUAGCGGUGGAAUGCGUAGAGAUCCGAAAGAACACCAGUGGCGAAGGCGGCCUGCUGGGCUUUUGCUGACACUGAGGCGCGACAGCGUGGGGAGCAAACAGGAUUAGAUACCCUUGUAGUC